Molecule: ribosomal RNA, 467 nt
Filed under: uncultured bacterium
Lineage: Bacteria
Description: partial 16S ribosomal RNA
Rfam family: Bacterial small subunit ribosomal RNA
Source: RNAcentral
GACGUACGCUGGCGGCGUGCUUAACACAUGCCAGUCGAACGGAAAGGCCCUGCUUUUGUGGGGUGCUCGAGUGGCGAACGGGUGAGUAACACGUGAGUAACCUGCCCUUGACUUUGGGAUAACUUCAGGAAACUGGGGCUAAUACCGGAUAGGAGCUCCUGCUGCAUGGUGGGGGUUGGAAAGUUUCGGCGGUUGGGGAUGGACUCGCGGCUUAUCAGCUUGUUGGUGGGGUAGUGGCUUACCAAGGCUUUGACGGGUAGCCGGCCUGAGAGGGUGACCGGCCACAUGGGGACUGAGAUACGGCCCAGACUCCUACGGGAGGCAGCAGUGGGGAAUAUUGCACAAUGGGCGGAAGCCUGAUGCAGCAACGCCGCGUGCGGGAUGACGGCCUUCGGGUUGUAAACCGCUUUCGCCUGUGACGAAGCGUGAGUGACGGUAAUGGGUAAAGAAGCACCGGCUAACUACGU